RNAcentral lists this transfer RNA (75 nucleotides) under Candidatus Woesearchaeota archaeon. RNAcentral's name for it is "tRNA-Arg". It matches the Rfam family "tRNA". From Rfam's summary of the family: Transfer RNA (tRNA) molecules are approximately 80 nucleotides in length. Their secondary structure includes four short double-helical elements and three loops (D, anti-codon, and T loops). The record is from RNAcentral. Lineage: Archaea; Nanobdellati; Candidatus Woesearchaeota.
GCUCCUGUAGCUCAGCCUGGAUAGAGCGACAGCCUCCUAAGUUGUAGGUCGGGGGUUCAAAUCCCCUCAGGAGCG